This 429-nucleotide ribosomal RNA is filed under the name Chloroflexota bacterium. Its description in RNAcentral is "Chloroflexi bacterium partial 16S ribosomal RNA". It matches the Rfam family "Bacterial small subunit ribosomal RNA", at positions 355 to 776 of the family's 1533-position model. Lineage: Bacteria; Bacillati; Chloroflexota. The record is from RNAcentral.
UGGGGAAUAUUGCACAAUGGGCGCAAGCCUGAUGCAGCCAUGCCGCGUGUAUGAAGAAGGCCUUCGGGUUGUAAAGUACUUUCAGUCGGGAGGAAGGUGGUAAGGUUAAUAACCUUAUCAAUUGACGUUACCGACAGAAGAAGCACCGGCUAACUCCGUGCCAGCAGCCGCGGUAAUACGGAGGGUGCAAGCGUUAAACGGAAUUACUGGGCGUAAAGCGCCCGCAGGCGGUUGAUUGAGUCAGAUGUGAAAUCCCCGAGCUUAACCCGGGAAUUGCAUCUGAUACUGGUCAGCUAGAGUCUUGGAAAGGGGGGUAGAAUUCCAUGUGUAGCGGUGAAAUGCGUAGAAAUGUGGAGGAAUACCGGUGGCGAAGGCGGCCCCCUGGACAAAGACUGACGCUCAGGUGCGAAAGCGUGGGGAGCAAACAGG